Molecule: ribosomal RNA, 466 nt
Filed under: uncultured bacterium
Lineage: Bacteria
Description: partial 16S ribosomal RNA
Rfam family: Bacterial small subunit ribosomal RNA
Source: RNAcentral
GAUGAACGCUGGCGGCGUGCUUAACACAUGCAAGUCGAACGAUGAAGCCCAGCUUGCUGGGUGGAUUAGUGGCGAACGGGUGAGUAACACGUGAGUAACCUGCCCUUAACUCUGGGAUAAGCCUGGGAAACUGGGUCUAAUACCGGAUAGGAGCGUCCACCGCAUGGUGGGUGUUGGAAAGAUUUAUCGGUUUUGGAUGGACUCGCGGCCUAUCAGCUUGUUGGUGAGGUAAUGGCUCACCAAGGCGACGACGGGUAGCCGGCCUGAGAGGGUGACCGGCCACACUGGGACUGAGACACGGCCCAGACUCCUACGGGAGGCAGCAGUGGGGAAUAUUGCACAAUGGGCGCAAGCCUGAUGCAGCGACGCCGCGUGAGGGAUGACGGCCUUCGGGUUGUAAACCUCUUUCAGUAGGGAAGAAGCGAAAGUGACGGUACCUGCAGAAGAAGCACCGGCUAACUACAUG